This 77-nucleotide transfer RNA is filed under the name Nitrospirota bacterium. Its description in RNAcentral is "Nitrospirae bacterium (sediment metagenome) tRNA-Arg". It matches the Rfam family "tRNA". Rfam says of the family: Transfer RNA (tRNA) molecules are approximately 80 nucleotides in length. Their secondary structure includes four short double-helical elements and three loops (D, anti-codon, and T loops). The record is from RNAcentral. Lineage: Bacteria; Pseudomonadati; Nitrospirota.
GCGCCUGUAGCUCAGCAGGAUAGAGCAACUGCCUUCUAAGCAGUAGGUUGGGGGUUCAAGUCCCUCCAGGCGUACCA